CAAGUUUGAUCAUGGCUCAGGAUGAACGCUAGCGACAGGCCUAACACAUGCAAGUCGAGGGGCAGCGGAGAGGUAGCAAUACCUUUGCCGGCGACCGGCGCACGGGUGAGUAACACGUAUGCAAUCCACCUGUAACAGGGGGAUAACCCGGAGAAAUCCGGACUAAUACCCCAUAAUAUGGGCGCUCCGCAUGGAGAGCCCAUCAAAGAGAGCAAUUUUGGUUACAGACGAGCAUGCGCUCCA
Molecule: ribosomal RNA, 243 nt
Filed under: uncultured bacterium
Lineage: Bacteria
Description: partial 16S ribosomal RNA
Rfam family: Bacterial small subunit ribosomal RNA
Source: RNAcentral